CAGAAGCUGAUCCAACAAAAGGAACAGGGGAGGAAGAGCAGAGGAGACUGAUGGUGAAGGACACAGAGGAGAGUCUGGAAAGCUCCAGGAGCAAUAACCC
Pipra filicauda (Wire-tailed manakin) is the source of this 100-nucleotide long non-coding RNA. RefSeq lists it as uncharacterized. The transcript has 3 exons. The record is from RefSeq and is a predicted model, not a curated record. Lineage: Eukaryota; Metazoa; Chordata; Aves; Passeriformes; Pipridae.